Triplophysa dalaica is the source of this 139-nucleotide small nucleolar RNA. NCBI's taxonomy places the organism in Eukaryota, Metazoa, Chordata, Actinopteri, Cypriniformes, Nemacheilidae. The record is from RefSeq and is a predicted model, not a curated record.
GACGCACACUGUUAAAGCCUGGCACUGCUAUCGGUGUUCAGGUGUCGGAUGUGUGCUAAAGCAAGCAGGCCGGGAUUCGCUAACACCAUUAGGGCCGAUGCCCAAUGAAUGGCGUUUGAUAGCAACCUGAGCUACAAGC